GUGAGGAAUAUUGCGCAAUGGAGGCAACUCUGACGCAGCCAUGCCGCGUGCAGGAAGAAGGCGCUACGCGUUGUAAACUGCUUUUAACCGGGAAGAAACCCCAGGACGUGUCCUGGGUUGACGGUACCGGAGGAAUAAGCACCGGCUAACUUCGUGCCAGCAGCCGCGGUAAUACGAAGGGUGCAAGCGUUAUCCGGAUUCAUUGGGUUUAAAGGGUGCGUAGGCGGAGCGUUAAGUCAGUUGUGAAAUCCUGCAGCUCAACUGUAGACUUGCCAUUGAUACUGGCGCUCUUGAGUGCGCUUGAAGUAGGCGGAAUGUGCCGUGUAGCGGUGAAAUGCUUAGAUAUGGCACAGAACACCAAUUGCGAAGGCAGCUUACUAAGGCGAUACUGACGCUGAGGCACGAAAGCGUGGGGAUCAAACAGGAUUAGAAACCCUGGUAGUCC
Molecule: ribosomal RNA, 445 nt
Filed under: uncultured bacterium
Lineage: Bacteria
Description: partial 16S ribosomal RNA
Rfam family: Bacterial small subunit ribosomal RNA
Source: RNAcentral